RNAcentral lists this ribosomal RNA (484 nucleotides) under uncultured bacterium. RNAcentral describes it as "partial 16S ribosomal RNA". It matches the Rfam family "Bacterial small subunit ribosomal RNA", at positions 30 to 507 of the family's 1533-position model. The record is from RNAcentral.
AUUGAACGCUGGCGGCAGGCCUAACACAUGCAAGUCGAGCGGAUGAAGGGAGCUUGCUCCUGGAUUCAGCGGCGGACGGGUGAGUAAUGCCUUGGAAUCUGCCUGGUAGUGGGGGAUAACGUCCGGAAACGGGCGCUAAUACCGCAUACGUCCUGAGGGAGAAAGUGGGGGAUCUUCGGAUCUCACGCUAUCAGAUGAGCCUAGGUCGGAUUAGCUAGUUGGUGGGGUAAAGGCCUACCAAGGCGACGAUCCGUAACUGGUCUGAGAGGAUGAUCAGUCACACUGGAACUGAGACACGGCCCAGACUCCUACGGGAGGCAGCAGUGGGGAAUAUUGGACAAUGGGCGAAAGCCUGAUCCAGCCAUGCCGCGUGUGUGAAGAAGGUCUUCGGAUUGUAAAGCACUUUAAGUUGGGAGGAAGGGCAGUAAGUUAAUACCUUGCUGUUUUGACGUUACCAACAGAAUAAGCACCGGCUAACUUCGUG